RNAcentral lists this ribosomal RNA (446 nucleotides) under uncultured bacterium. RNAcentral's name for it is "bacterial SSU rRNA". It matches the Rfam family "Bacterial small subunit ribosomal RNA", at positions 29 to 521 of the family's 1533-position model. The record is from RNAcentral.
AACGAACGCUGGCGGCAUGCCUAACACAUGCAAGUCGAACGAGACCUUCGGGUCUAGUGGCGCACGGGUGCGUAACGCGUGGGAAUCUGCCCUUGGUUCGGAAUAACAGUUAGAAAUGACUGCUAAUACCGGAUGAUGACGAAAGUCCAAAGAUUUAUCGCCGAGGGAUGAGCCCGCGUAGGAUUAGCUAGUUGGUGAGGUAAAGGCUCACCAAGGCGACGAUCCUUAGCUGGUCUGAGAGGAUGAUCAGCCACACUGGGACUGAGACACGGCCCAGACUCCUACGGGAGGCAGCAGUGGGGAAUAUUGGACAAUGGGCGAAAGCCUGAUCCAGCAAUGCCGCGUGAGUGAUGAAGGCCUUAGGGUCGUAAAGCUCUUUUACCAGGGAUGAUAAUGACAGUACCUGGAGAAUAAGCUCCGGCUAACUCCGUGCCAGCAGCCGCGGU